GAUGAACGCUGGCGGCGCGCCUAACACAUGCAAGUCGAACGAUUAAAGCACCUUCGGGUGUGUAUAAAGUGGCGAACGGCUGAGUAACACGUGGGCAACCUGCCCCUCUCAUUGGGAUAGCCACGGGAAACCGUGGAUAAUACCGAAUACUUCGAGUCUCCCGCAUGGAAGACUCGAGAAAGCUCCGGCGGAGAGGGAUGGGCCCGCGGCCUGUUAGCUUGUUGGUGGGGUAACGGCCUACCAAGGCAAUGAUGGGUAGCUGGGUUGAGAGACCGACCAGCCAGAUUGGGACUGAGACACGGCCCAGACUCCUACGGGAGGCAGCAGUGGGGAAUCUUGCACAAUGGGCGAAAGCCUGAUGCAGCGACGCCGCGUGCGGGAUGAAGGCCUUCGGGUUGUAAACCGCUUUCAGCAGGGACGAGGCGAAAGUGACGGUACCUGCAGAAGAAGCCCCGGCUAACUACGUGCCAGCAGCCGCGGUAAUACGUAGGGGGCAAGCGUUAUCCGGAUUCAUUGGGCGUAAAGCGCUCGUGGGCGGUCUGUUAGGUCGGGAGUUAAAUCCGGGGGCUCAACCCCCGUUCGCUCCCGAUACCGGCAGACUUGAGUUUGGUAGGGGAAGGUGGAAUUCCUAGUGUAGCGGUGGAAUGCGCAGAUAUUAGGAAGAACACCAGUGGCGAAGGCGGCCUUCUGGGCCAUAACUGACGCUGAGGAGCGAAAGCUAGGGGAGCAAACAGG
RNAcentral lists this ribosomal RNA (735 nucleotides) under uncultured Atopobium sp. RNAcentral's name for it is "bacterial SSU rRNA". It matches the Rfam family "Bacterial small subunit ribosomal RNA", at positions 28 to 776 of the family's 1533-position model. Lineage: Bacteria; Bacillati; Actinomycetota; Coriobacteriia; Coriobacteriales; Atopobiaceae. The record is from RNAcentral.